CAGCAGCCGCGGUAACACGGAGGGUGCAAGCGUUAAUCGGAAUUACUGGGCGUAAAGCGCACGCAGGCGGUUUGUUAAGUCAGAUGUGAAAUCCCCGAGCUUAACUUGGGAACUGCAUUUGAAACUGGCAAGCUAGAGUCUUGUAGAGGGGGGUAGAAUUCCAGGUGUAGCGGUGAAAUGCGUAGAGAUCUGGAGGAAUACCGGUGGCGAAGGCGGCCCCCUGGACAAAGACUGACGCUCAGGUGCGGAAGCGUGGGGAGCAAACAGGAUUAGAUACCCGUGUAGUCCAUGUCUCUUAUAC
Molecule: ribosomal RNA, 301 nt
Filed under: uncultured bacterium
Lineage: Bacteria
Description: partial 16S ribosomal RNA
Rfam family: Bacterial small subunit ribosomal RNA
Source: RNAcentral